UCGAACGUGAAGCCUCCUUCGGGGAGGUGGAAAGUGGCGAACGGGUGAGUAACACGUAGGUAACGUGCCCUAGGGAGGAGGACAACAGGUGGAAACGCCUGCUAAUACUCCGGAUGUCACUUCGGUGACUAAAGCUCCGGCGCCCUAGGAGUGGCCUGCGGUCCAUCAGCUUGUUGGUAAGGUAAAGGCUUACCAAGGCGAAGACGGAUAGGGGGCGUGAGAGCGUGGACCCCCACACUGGUACUGAUACACGGACCAGAUACCUACGGGUAGCAGCAGUGAGGAAUAUUGCGCAAUGGGGGCAACCCUGACGCAGCAACACCGCGUGGAGGAAGAAGGUUUUCGGAUUGUAAACUCCUUUUCUGUAGGAAUAGCAAGGAAGGUACUACAGGAAUAAGGCCCGGCUAACUACGUGCCAGCAGCCGCGGUAAAACGUAGGGGCCAAGCGUUAUCCGGAAUUACUGGGCGUAAAGAGCGUGUAGGCGGUUAAAUAAGUUGGAUGUGAAAUCUCCCGGCUCAACUGGGAGAGGCCAUUCAAAACUGUUUAACUAGAGAUAGAUAGAGGCAAGUGGAAUUUCCGGUGUAGCGGUGAAAUGCGUAGAUAUCGGAAGGAACACCAGAGGCGAAGGCGGCUUGCUGGGUCUGAUCUGACGCUGAGACGCGAAAGCUAGGGGAGAGAACGGGAUUAGAAACCCCGGUAUUCCUAGCCGUAAACGAUGUCAACUAGUGUAGGUGGGUGUAAGCCCAUCUGUGCUCCAGCUAACGCGAUAAGUUGACCGCCUGGGGACUACGCCGCAAGGCUAAACUCAAAGGAAUUGGCGGGGACCCGCACAGCAGCGGAGCGUGUGGUU
RNAcentral lists this ribosomal RNA (851 nucleotides) under uncultured bacterium. RNAcentral describes it as "bacterial SSU rRNA". It matches the Rfam family "Bacterial small subunit ribosomal RNA", at positions 62 to 946 of the family's 1533-position model. The record is from RNAcentral.